GGAGGAAAAGAAACCAACAGGGAUUGCCCUAGUAACGGCGAGUGAAGCGGCAACAGCUCAAAUUUGAAAGCUAGCCUUCGGGUUCGCAUUGUAAUUUGUAGAGGAUGAUUUGGGGAAGCCGCCUGUCUAAGUUCCUUGGAACAGGACGUCAUAGAGGGUGAGAAUCCCGUAUGUGACAGGAAAUGGCACCCUAUGUAAAUCUCCUUCGACGAGUCGAGUUGUUUGGGAAUGCAGCUCUAAAUGGGAGGUAAAUUUCUUCUAAAGCUAAAUAUUGGCGAGAGACCGAUAGCGCACAAGUAGAGUGAUCGAAAGAUGAAAAGCACUUUGGAAAGAGAGUUAAAAAGCACGUGAAAUUGUUGAAAGGGAAGCGCUUGCAAUCAGACUUGUUUAAACUGUUCGGCCGGUCUUCUGACCGGUUUACUCAGUUUGGACAGGCCAGCAUCAGUUUCGGCGGCCGGAUAAAGGCUCUGGGAAUGUGGCCUCCACUUCGGUGGAGGUGUUAUAGCCCAGGGUGUAAUACGGCCAGCCGGGACUGAGGUCCGCGCUUCGGCUAGGAUGCUGGCGUAAUGGUUGUAAGCGACCCGUCUUGAAACACG
RNAcentral lists this ribosomal RNA (596 nucleotides) under Aureobasidium pullulans. RNAcentral's name for it is "eukaryotic LSU rRNA". It matches the Rfam family "Eukaryotic large subunit ribosomal RNA", at positions 52 to 663 of the family's 3401-position model. Lineage: Eukaryota; Fungi; Ascomycota; Dothideomycetes; Dothideales; Saccotheciaceae. The record is from RNAcentral.